This 167-nucleotide non-coding RNA is filed under the name Oryctolagus cuniculus (rabbit). RNAcentral describes it as "Eukaryotic large subunit ribosomal RNA". It matches the Rfam family "Eukaryotic large subunit ribosomal RNA", at positions 2634 to 2802 of the family's 3401-position model. Lineage: Eukaryota; Metazoa; Chordata; Mammalia; Lagomorpha; Leporidae. The record is from Rfam by way of RNAcentral.
UUGAUUGAAAACAAGCAGCUAAGAUGAGCUAAGAUGAGCUCAGGGAGGACAGUAACUUCCUGUGGGGAAGAAGGGCAAACGCACUCUUAAUCUCAAUUUUCAGCAUGAAUACAGACUGUGAAAGCAGGGCCUUUCCAUCCUCCUGACCUUUUGGUUUGAAGCAGGAU